RNAcentral lists this ribosomal RNA (497 nucleotides) under uncultured archaeon. Its description in RNAcentral is "bacterial SSU rRNA". It matches the Rfam family "Archaeal small subunit ribosomal RNA", at positions 362 to 859 of the family's 1478-position model. The record is from RNAcentral.
AAAGUGCGACGGGGGGAUCCCAAGUGUUAUGCUUUUUUGUAUGACUUUUCAUUAGUGUAAAAAGCUUUUAGAAUAAGAGCUGGGCAAGACCGGUGCCAGCCGCCGCGGUAACACCGGCAGCUCGAGUGGUAGCUGUUUUUAUUGGGCCUAAAGCGUUCGUAGCCGGUUUGAUAAGUCUUUGGUGAAAGCUUGUAGCUUAACUAUAAGAAUUGCUGGAGAUACUAUUAGACUUGAAGUCGGGAGAGGUUAGAGGUACUACCGGGGUAGGGGUGAAAUCCUAUAAUCCUGGGAGGACCACCUGUGGCGAAGGCGUCUAACUGGAACGAUCUUGACGGUGAGUAACGAAAGCCAGGGGCGCGAACCGGAUUAGAUACCCGGGUAGUCCUGGCCGUAAACGAUGCGGACUUGGUGUUGGGAUGGCUUUGAGCCGCUCCGGUGCCGAAGGGAAGCUGUUAAGUCCGCCGCCUGGGAAGUACGGUCGCAAGACUGAAACCUAA